UACGGGGGGGGUAAGCGUUGUUCGGAAUUACUGGGCGUAAAGGGCUCGUAGGCGGCCAACUAAGUCGGACGUGAAAUCCCUCAGCUUAGCUGGGGAACUGCGUCCGAUACUGGAUGGCUUGGAUUUGGGAGAGGGAUGCGGAAUUCCAGGUGUAGCGGUGAAAUGCGUAGAUAUCUGGAGGAACACCGGUGGCGAAGGCGGCAUCCUGGACCAAUAUUGACGCUGAGGAGCGAAAGCCAGGGGAGCAAACGGG
This 253-nucleotide ribosomal RNA is filed under the name uncultured bacterium. Its description in RNAcentral is "partial 16S ribosomal RNA". It matches the Rfam family "Bacterial small subunit ribosomal RNA", at positions 524 to 776 of the family's 1533-position model. The record is from RNAcentral.